UUCCCCGACGAGGAGAUAUACUAAAAUUGGAAUGAUACGGACAAGAUUAGCAUGGUCCCUGUGCAACGAUGACACAUAAAUUCAUGAACCGUUCCAUAUUAGA
This is a small nuclear RNA of Pristis pectinata (smalltooth sawfish), 103 nucleotides long. Lineage: Eukaryota; Metazoa; Chordata; Chondrichthyes; Rhinopristiformes; Pristidae. The record is from RefSeq and is a predicted model, not a curated record.